Heterocephalus glaber (naked mole-rat) is the source of this 1144-nucleotide long non-coding RNA. NCBI's taxonomy places the organism in Eukaryota, Metazoa, Chordata, Mammalia, Rodentia, Bathyergidae. The record is from Ensembl.
CAGGUCCCUGGUACUGCUUUUAUAGACACGGUUUAGCCUCUUCCUUGGCAUUCUCUUUUCUGGUGUGUAUGUGUGUGUGAGCAUGUGUGUGUGUUUUACUUCUGAUUCUGAAUCAAUUUCUCUUUCCCUUCCUUCCUUCCUUCCUUUCUUCCUUCCUUCUCUCCUUCUAUCUUUCCACACCAUGACCAAAUUGAGUUCUCUCAUGAAUAUACUCAGAUUUUCAGAUCAUAAACUAGCAUUAUUGAUGUUAAAAUAAAGGGAAAUUAGAAAUUAUUCUAUUCUAAUCUCUCGUCCAACAGGCGAGGAUACUGAGGCCAAGCGAGGUGAACAAGCUACCCAAAGUCAUAAAGCUGCAUAAGGGCAGAGUUUUCUAAAGCCUACUGUGAAUUGAAAAAUCAAAGCACCACCUACUUUUUUUGAUCCCAGGUAUGUGGUAGAUGAGGUCUUGCUGGAAACCCAUAAAGAGGAGGUGCCUGUAGAACAUGGCAGGCUGACCGCAUCCUCACAUCCCCAGAAGCGCAACUCUCAGUCUAAGGAAUUAUGUAUCCCUUCCUGAUGAUUAAAGAAUUUUAGAGGGUGGAUGUUUCUGUUACAAAAUUACCAACUCUCAGGCUUAUCUAGUCACUGGUUGGCAAGGCACGGAUGCCCCAGUUUGGCUAACAUGGUCCCUGCAGGAAAUGGAAUAGGGCCCCCGGGGAAUAGGAGGAGAAAGGGAGAAGGCAGCUGUGGGCCCUGGGCAUGAAUUUGGAUAGUUGCUGCAGGAUGGUGGUAGCUGGCAUUUGAUUUGGAGGAGAAGUUGAAAGGUCACGGCUUUCAGAACCCUGGGCUUAAAAAUCAAAUUAUGCUGGCGGAGACAGCAUAUCUCACAACAUGGCGGACAUGCCCACAGUCUUCCCCUUUGUACCUUUGGGUUUCUAGAUGUAAUUUCCUGUGGCACUUUUCAUUUUUCCUUUCAAAAGCAAAAUAAUAAAAGAAGAUGGAGAAAGGCUUCUCAUGAUCUCACCUCAUUAAGGGGUCAUUUCUGUUUCUCACAGGAACAAUUUGUUUUAAAAAGCCCCCAAAGUAAAUAUUCCAUCUCUUUCCAGGAUUAUUAAUAGGAGGAUGGCUGUCUGGUCAUACAACUUCUUCUUCUGCUUUUUAUUAA